Molecule: ribosomal RNA, 453 nt
Filed under: uncultured bacterium
Lineage: Bacteria
Description: bacterial SSU rRNA
Rfam family: Bacterial small subunit ribosomal RNA
Source: RNAcentral
UACGGAAGGCAGCAGUGGGGAAUAUUGCACAAUGGGCGCAAGCCUGAUGCAGCCAUGCCGCGUGUAUGAAGAAGGCCUUCGGGUUGUAAAGUACUUUCAGUCGUGAGGAAGGUGUUAAGGUUAAUAACCUUAGCAAUUGACGUUAGCGACAGAAGAAGCACCGGCUAACUCCGUGCCAGCAGCCGCGGUAAUACGGAGGGUGCGAGCGUUAAUCGGAAUUACUGGGCGUAAAGGGCACGCAGGCGGUUAAUUAAGUUGGAUGUGAAAUCCCCGGGCUUAACCUGGGAAUGGCAUUCAAGACUGGUUAGCUAGAGUCUUGUAGAGGGGGUAGAAUUCCAUGUGUAGCGGUGAAAUGCGUAGAGAUGUGGAGGAAUACCGGGUGGCGAAGGCGGCCCCUGGGACAAAGACUGACGCUCAUGUGCGAAAGCGUGGGGAGCGAAACAGGGAUUAGAU